Molecule: ribosomal RNA, 809 nt
Filed under: Salmonella enterica subsp. enterica serovar Kottbus
Lineage: Bacteria; Pseudomonadati; Pseudomonadota; Gammaproteobacteria; Enterobacterales; Enterobacteriaceae
Description: partial 23S ribosomal RNA
Rfam family: Bacterial large subunit ribosomal RNA
Source: RNAcentral
GUCUUAAUUGGGCGUUAAGUUGCAGGGUAUAGACCCGAAACCCGGUGAUCUAGCCAUGGGCAGGUUGAAGGUUGGGUAACACUAACUGGAGGACCGAACCGACUAAUGUUGAAAAAUUAGCGGAUGACCUGUGGCUGGGGGUGAAAGGCCAAUCAAACCGGGAGAUAGCUGGUUCUCCCCGAAAGCUAUUUAGGUAGCGCCUCGUGAAUUCAUCUCCGGGGGUAGAGCACUGUUUCGGCUAGGGGGCCAUCCCGGCUUACCAACCCGAUGCAAACUGCGAAUACCGGAGAAUGUUAUCACGGGAGACACACGGCGGGUGCUAACGUCCGUCGUGAAGAGGGAAACAACCCAGACCGCCAGCUAAGGUCCCAAAGUCAUGGUUAAGUGGGAAACGAUGUGGGAAGGCCCAGACAGCCAGGAUGUUGGCUUAGAAGCAGCCAUCAUUUAAAGAAAGCGUAAUAGCUCACUGGUCGAGUCGGCCUGCGCGGAAGAUGUAACGGGGCUAAACCAUGCACCGAAGCUGCGGCAGCGAACGUAUCACUUAAAGCGAUUCAGCGGGUUACGAUUGACGGAGCGAAGCGACGUCAAAGCGUAUACAAAGUCGAGUCGGUUUAAGGAUACGUUCGUUGGGUAGGGGAGCGUUCUGUAAGCCUGUGAAGGUGGCCUGUGAGGGUUGCUGGAGGUAUCAGAAGUGCGAAUGCUGACAUAAGUAACGAUAAAGCGGGUGAAAAGCCCGCUCGCCGGAAGACCAAGGGUUCCUGUCCAACGUUAAUCGGGGCAGGGUGAGUCGACCCCUAAGGCGAGGCCGA